Cinara cedri is the source of this 689-nucleotide non-coding RNA. The record is from the annotation of a GenBank genome assembly. Lineage: Eukaryota; Metazoa; Arthropoda; Insecta; Hemiptera; Aphididae.
AACCCGUUAAAAUAUUAUGUAAAAUCAAAUUUCAUUUCCGAAUUAGAAUGAUUUAAAUUUGUAGCUGGGGGGGUGUUGUGAGUGUCAAAUUUGACGCCCCUAAAAUUUUGCCAUUCUAUAUUCUGUUCGUUGUGCUAGUAAGUAAAUCCGAUUCCGUAUGUUUUUAUUUUUUUUUUAUUAACUUUACAAACUUUGAAAUGAAAACGUCUGCACCGAUAUAAUAUAUAGCGUUUUACACACGACUUCACCAGAUGGUACCGGUGCACAAUUGUAUGUUCCAUAUGGGAUAUUGGUAAACAUUUAGUGCUGGUUUUUAUGUUUCACGUGCGCACACUCUAUCAAUUUCUUACUCCGAGUGCAAUGAUAAUUGCACGAACUCCUCAAACUCGUACGCCAUAUCUUUUAUUGUCAAAGGUGCCUAUCUUGAAUGCGUGGUUUUUAAUUUAUAUACUUUGAAUUGAUAAUACAUAAAAUACUAUAUUACUAUUAUUAUCAAAUAUAUUUAAUAGUAUUAUAAUUAACUAUAAAGACUUGAAAGGUAGCGUAAAUUGUUGUCAAAGAGAAAAUAAUUAUUAAUUGUAAAAAUUAUGUUGCACGUGAUUCGUGAUUCGACUGCACUGAGCAAUUUAUCGAACAAUAUCAGUUGCCUAGUAUAGGCGCGACAGUGCACACUACACACAUAUGGAAAA